UAUUAAAAAUUUCAUCAAUUUCUACUAUUAAAAACUGGCGUGGCUAACUAAAUAACCAAACAAUUACACGAGGUGUGCCACAUGUACCUCAUUCUAACAUAUAGCGACUAGUUUUUAAUAGUAGAAAUGGAUGAAAUUAUUAAUA
Gossypium raimondii (Peruvian cotton) is the source of this 145-nucleotide non-coding RNA. The record is from Rfam. Lineage: Eukaryota; Viridiplantae; Streptophyta; Magnoliopsida; Malvales; Malvaceae.